This 2232-nucleotide ribosomal RNA is filed under the name Shigella sonnei. RNAcentral's name for it is "partial 23S ribosomal RNA". It matches the Rfam family "Bacterial large subunit ribosomal RNA", at positions 474 to 2691 of the family's 2925-position model. Lineage: Bacteria; Pseudomonadati; Pseudomonadota; Gammaproteobacteria; Enterobacterales; Enterobacteriaceae. The record is from RNAcentral.
UCCUGACUGACCGAUAGUGAACCAGUACCGUGAGGGAAAGGCGAAAAGAACCCCGGCGAGGGGAGUGAAAAAGAACCUGAAACCGUGUACGUACAAGCAGUGGGAGCACGCUUAGGCGUGUGACUGCGUACCUUUUGUAUAAUGGGUCAGCGACUUAUAUUCUGUAGCAAGGUUAACCGAAUAGGGGAGCCGAAGGGAAACCGAGUCUUAACUGGGCGUUAAGUUGCAGGGUAUAGACCCGAAACCCGGUGAUCUAGCCAUGGGCAGGUUGAAGGUUGGGUAACACUAACUGGAGGACCGAACCGACUAAUGUUGAAAAAUUAGCGGAUGACUUGUGGCUGGGGGUGAAAGGCCAAUCAAACCGGGAGAUAGCUGGUUCUCCCCGAAAGCUAUUUAGGUAGCGCCUCGUGAAUUCAUCUCCGGGGGUAGAGCACUGUUUCGGCAAGGGGGUCAUCCCGACUUACCAACCCGAUGCAAACUGCGAAUACCGGAGAAUGUUAUCACGGGAGACACACGGCGGGUGCUAACGUCCGUCGUGAAGAGGGAAACAACCCAGACCGCCAGCUAAGGUCCCAAAGUCAUGGUUAAGUGGGAAACGAUGUGGGAAGGCCCAGACAGCCAGGAUGUUGGCUUAGAAGCAGCCAUCAUUUAAAGAAAGCGUAAUAGCUCACUGGUCGAGUCGGCCUGCGCGGAAGAUGUAACGGGGCUAAACCAUGCACCGAAGCUGCGGCAGCGAUGCUUAUGCGUUGUUGGGUAGGGGAGCGUUCUGUAAGCCUGCGAAGGUGUGCUGUGAGGCAUGCUGGAGGUAUCAGAAGUGCGAAUGCUGACAUAAGUAACGAUAAAGCGGGUGAAAAGCCCGCUCGCCGGAAGACCAAGGGUUCCUGUCCAACGUUAAUCGGGGCAGGGUGAGUCGACCCCUAAGGCGAGGCCGAAAGGCGUAGUCGAUGGGAAACAGGUUAAUAUUCCUGUACUUGGUGUUACUGCGAAGGGGGGACGGAGAAGGCUAUGUUGGCCGGGCGACGGUUGUCCCGGUUUAAGCGUGUAGGCUGGUUUUCCAGGCAAAUCCGGAAAAUCAAGGCUGAGGCGUGAUGACGAGGCACUACGGUGCUGAAGCAACAAAUGCCCUGCUUCCAGGAAAAGCCUCUAAGCAUCAGGUAACAUCAAAUCGUACCCCAAACCGACACAGGUGGUCAGGUAGAGAAUACCAAGGCGCUUGAGAGAACUCGGGUGAAGGAACUAGGCAAAAUGGUGCCGUAACUUCGGGAGAAGGCACGCUGAUAUGUAGGUGAAGUCCCUUGCGGAUGGAGCUGAAAUCAGUCGAAGAUACCAGCUGGCUGCAACUGUUUAUUAAAAACACAGCACUGUGCAAACACGAAAGUGGACGUAUACGGUGUGACGCCUGCCCGGUGCCGGAAGGUUAAUUGAUGGGGUCAGCGCAAGCGAAGCUCUUGAUCGAAGCCCCGGUAAACGGCGGCCGUAACUAUAACGGUCCUAAGGUAGCGAAAUUCCUUGUCGGGUAAGUUCCGACCUGCACGAAUGGCGUAAUGAUGGCCAGGCUGUCUCCACCCGAGACUCAGUGAAAUUGAACUCGCUGUGAAGAUGCAGUGUACCCGCGGCAAGACGGAAAGACCCCGUGAACCUUUACUAUAGCUUGACACUGAACAUUGAGCCUUGAUGUGUAGGAUAGGUGGGAGGCUUUGAAGUGUGGACGCCAGUCUGCAUGGAGCCGGCCUUGAAAUACCACCCUUUAAUGUUUGAUGUUCUAACGUGGACCCGUGAUCCGGGUUGCGGACAGUGUCUGGUGGGUAGUUUGACUGGGGCGGUCUCCUCCUAAAGAGUAACGGAGGAGCACGAAGGUUGGCUAAUCCUGGUCGGACAUCAGGAGGUUAGUGCAAUGGCAUAAGCCAGCUUGACUGCGAGCGUGACGGCGCGAGCAGGUGCGAAAGCAGGUCAUAGUGAUCCGGUGGUUCUGAAUGGAAGGGCCAUCGCUCAACGGAUAAAAGGUACUCCGGGGAUAACAGGCUGAUACCGCCCAAGAGUUCAUAUCGACGGCGGUGUUUGGCACCUCGAUGUCGGCUCAUCACAUCCUGGGGCUGAAGUAGGUCCCAAGGGUAUGGCUGUUCGCCAUUUAAAGUGGUACGCGAGCUGGGUUUAGAACGUCGUGAGACAGUUCGGUCCCUAUCUGCCGUGGGCGCUGGAGAACUGAGGGGGGCUGCUCCUAGUACGAGAGGA